Molecule: long non-coding RNA, 2781 nt
Filed under: Malus domestica (apple)
Lineage: Eukaryota; Viridiplantae; Streptophyta; Magnoliopsida; Rosales; Rosaceae
Description: long non-coding RNA (MDOM_LNC021220)
Source: RNAcentral
AACUUCUUUAGAUUGCAUUCUCCCAAUCACAUAUUCCUUGGACUUAUCGUUUAAGCAUAUAACAUUUAUAUAAGACGGCUCAAACACUAAUCUUUGCCCUUUAUAUUUAAACUACAUUAGUUUAACUUUGUGAAAUGUCCGUAAAUUAUCAUCAUAUGAUUGGUUUUAGGGCACAUUUCCAACAUGAUUAUCUCUUUAUUCAUAAUGAAGGAACAUUCAAUGAUGGAUUAGAUUCAUAAUCUAAUACAUUUACGCUUCCUUUACGUUACUCUAAUUCUUCCUCAUUCUUUGAGGAAUCUAUCAUUUAGUAUUUCUUAAAUACUUAAGGACUCACUUGACAGUUGCCAUGGUUCUGAUCCUGGGCUUGCACUGAUAUCGUCUUGUACCUUUCUAGGUACAACUCAUAUCAAUGUUUUCAUACAAUAUGAAAUACAUAAAUCACCUUUCUGCGUAUGCAUAAAGGAUUCUAUUUACGCAUUAUUCCUUUGGGAGUCAAAGGGUCGUUCCUUUUGAGAAGGGCAACUUGCUAGUCUCACUAGAGUCAUCCUUCUAAUUGAAGUUUAUCAUCAUAUGAGAAACCUCCUAGCAUCUUUUGUCUAUUGUUAGGGAUUGAUAUAAUCAUAUUAUAUCUUGAAAUCUAUCAUUAUAGAUUUACAUCCCAUGUUUAUAGACAAUGUCUCCCAUAUACAUUCUAUCGUUAUAGAAUGUUUAAAGUCAUAAUUUUAACGAAGAAGUAUUCUUUUCAUUUCCAAAAUUAAUAUAUCAUAUGUGUAUAUAUAUGUAUAUAUAUAUAUAUAUAUAUAUAUUCAAAUUUAGGAACAUUAUUAACUCCCACUAAUCUUUUGUAAACCUAGUAAACAAAAGAUUCAUUUACAUCUUUAUGAGAAAUCAAACAAUUUGAUCUUUCUCUCAUAAGACGCUUAUAGCUCCCACUAGCUUGCUAAGAUCCAUGAUGGAUGGAUCUCUACAACUUACAUUUCUUGUGAUUCAUAGUUUUAGACAUAUAUUAUCAAGACUAUCUUAAUAAUGUUUCGGAAACCCAUAUUAUGUCCAAACAUUGAAUCACCAUUUAGUUGUAGCUAGCAAUCUUCGAAUUAAUUGAAACCAAGACUACGUCAAAGAUGGUUUCUUCAAAGUCAACCAAUCUCUUUGAUUGUAGUCACCUUAAGCUACCAAUUAGCUAUAAAGGUUUCAUUAUUUCGGGUCAAGUGGUACUUUACCAUUUCCUUGAGUAUAUGUCGCAUAUACACUCAAUGUAGUCAUAAGGAUUUUCAAUCUUAUUUCUUUCGAAUUAAGAGGUGUAACUCUAUGACAUAGUCAUAAAGUUCAAACCAUUCAACUGAGACAGUUUAUAAAUUCUUCUUGACUACCUUGGAGCUUGUGGUAUAGGAACUAGGUUGUUAUAUUUGUUGGUUAUCAUCUUGUCUCUCAAAGAACCCAUUCUUUGAGUUCUAUCUCUCGUUCAUUUGCUCUAUCUUAGGCAAAUCCUAUGGUAGGAUUAUAAUGAACUAUCCAACAAACAACAUUUGUUAGUUGGUUUAUAGAAGUGAUAUCCAAAUGUUAAUUUAAGGAUACCCACAAGAUAAUUUUCAAACAAAUAUUGCUUAUUAGCACCCAACCCCAAAUCUUAAUACAAUUAAGACUUGUCUUUCUUUCUGACUACAUCCUAUGGAGUCAUGAAAAUUUUGGAAGAUCUUCUAAUUGACAAUCAUAUUGUCUUAGAAGUAUAUAUCCUAUAUAUAUGGGUAAUUGAUAACAUCCAACGAACUAAAUCUUAUUUGAGUUCGUUCUUCUCUCAAUGGAGAAAUUCAUUAUCUUAUGAUGCUUCUUUCCUUGAUAAUUUUCAAGGAAACUGUUCUAAAGUGUUAUCUUUCCUUGGAUCAAAUCUAAGGAGGUAAAUACUUUAGACGUCUUACUCAUCAACUUACAUUUCUUGAAUUCUUUGAAACAUUUUGCAAAGUAUUCGGACUUGUGUUUAUUUAAAAUAAACGAUAGUCCAACCGAGAGUGAUCUUCGGUGAAUGUCAUACAACAUGAGUAGUAUUAUGUUUGUGGACAAGUGCCACUAACAUCUAAGUGAAUUAACCUCAACAACUUUGUGAUUCUUUCUUCUUUCCAAAAGAAUAAAGAUUCGAACAUUUCGCCUCUAUACAAUUUUAAUAAGAAGGUAUUGGAUCCGGAUCUAACGAUCCAAAGCAUCCAUCUAUGACCAACUCGUAAUUUAUGUUUUUAGAGGUAUCACAACUCAGUUGAGAUUAGUCACUACCUUGUAACCUUUUGGGUUUUAAGCAUCGUUAUAUUCUAAACAGUUAACACUACCAUAUCAUCUCUACUAUAGAGAUAAUUAAUUAGAUUACAAUAAUCUAAUCAUUCAUUAAUAAAGAACAAUGUUUCGUCAAACAAAACAUUUAUCCAUUUAACAUACGGAAUUAAGUUCCUUUAUUCAAUUGGAAUGUAAAGACAAUCUUUACUUUUUCCAAUUUCUUUGGUAGUUCAUAUGAGGAAGUAAGUACCAUCUGCUUUCGCAGAGAUCUACAUUUGAUUCACUUUCCGAAUGUGAAGUACUUUCUCUUCACUCAUUAAUCUUCUACUUCCUAUUAGCCACACUUUUACAAUGAUUGUAAAACAUAGUUACUAAUACGGAAUCAAGCAUUCAAGUAGAAGAACCAACUGUUUUGAACUAUUCAAUAACAAUUUACAACACCUUCGAAAGGUGUGUUUUUGACACUUGCAAGACAUUUCUUGCAAAUACCCCUUCCAAUGUCCAUCCUUUCAUAAAGAA